GGCGGUUUCUUAAGUCUGAUGUGAAAGCCCCCGGCUCAACCGGGGAGGGUCAUUGGAAACUGGGGAACUUGAGUGCAGAAGAGGAGAGUGGAAUUCCACGUGUAGCGGUGAAAUGCGUAGAGAUGUGGAGGAACACCAGUGGCGAAGGCGACUCUCUGGUCUGUAACUGACGCUGAGGAGCGAAAGCGUGGGGAGCGAACAGGAUUAGAUACCCUGGUAGUCCACGCCGUAAACGAUGAGUGCUAAGUGUUAGGGGGUUUCCGCCCCUUAGUGCUGCAGCUAACGCAUUAAGCACUCCGCCUGGGGAGUACGGUCGCAAGACUGAAACUCAAAGGAAUUGACGGGGGCCCGCACAAGCGGUGGAGCAUGUGGUUUAAUUCGAAGCAACGCGAAGAACCUUACCAGGUCUUGACAUCCUCUGACCCUUCUAGAGAUA
Molecule: ribosomal RNA, 436 nt
Filed under: Bacillus sp. (in: firmicutes)
Lineage: Bacteria; Bacillati; Bacillota; Bacilli; Caryophanales; Bacillaceae
Description: bacterial SSU rRNA
Rfam family: Bacterial small subunit ribosomal RNA
Source: RNAcentral